This 489-nucleotide ribosomal RNA is filed under the name uncultured bacterium. RNAcentral's name for it is "SSU rRNA". It matches the Rfam family "Bacterial small subunit ribosomal RNA", at positions 26 to 523 of the family's 1533-position model. The record is from RNAcentral.
AGGACGAACGCUGGCGGCGUGCCUAACACAUGCAAGUCGAACGCGCUCCAUUCGGUAGCAAUACUGAUGAAGAGCGAGUGGCGAACGGGUGAGUAGCACGUGAGCAACCUGCCCCGAAGACUGGGACAACACCGGGAAACCGGUGCUAAUACCGGAUAUCCCUAUCGGACCGCAUGGUCCAAUAAGGAAAUGUUUUUCGCUUCGGGAGGGGCUCGCGGCCUAUCAGCUAGUUGGUGGGGUAACGGCCACCAAGGCAUCGACGGGUAGCUGGUCUGAGAGGACGAUCAGCCACACUGGGACUGAGACACGGCCCAGACUCCUACGGGAGGCAGCAGUGGGGAAUCUUGCGCAAUGGGCGAAAGCCUGACGCAGCAACGCCGCGUGGAGGACGAAGGCUUUCUGAGUUGUAAACUCCUUUCAGCAGGGACGAUUGUGACGGUACCUGCAGAAGAAGCGACCGGCCAACUACGCGCCGAGCAGCCGCGGUAA